AAGUCUGGUGCCAGCAGCCGCGGUAAUUCCAGCUCCAAUAGCGUAUAUUAAAGUUGUUGCAGUUAAAAAGCUCGUAGUUGAAUUUCGGGGUUAGUAGGUUGGUCAUGCCUCUGGUAUGUACUGGUCUCACUGAUUCCUCCUUCCUGAUGAACCGUAAUGCCAUUAAUUUGGCGUUGCGGGGAAUUUGGACUGUUACUUUGAAAAAAUUAGAGUGUUUAAAGCAAGCUAACGCUUGAAUACAUUAGCAUGGAAUAAUGAAAUAGGACGUUCGAUCCUAUUUUGUUGGUUUCUAGGAUUGACGUAAUGAUUAAUAGGGAUAGUUGGGGGCAUUAGUAUUCAAUUGUCAGAGGUGAAAUUCUUGGAUUUAUUGAAGACUAACUACUGCGAAAGCAUUUGCCAAGGAUGUUUUCAUUAAUCAAGAACGAAAGUUAGGGGAUCGAAGACGAUCAGAUACCGUCGUAGUCUUAACCAUAAACUAUGCCGACUAGGGAUCGGAUGAUGUUAAUUUUUUAAUGACUCAUUCGGCGCCUUACGGGAAACCAAAGUGUUUGGGU
Molecule: ribosomal RNA, 554 nt
Filed under: Rhizophagus irregularis
Lineage: Eukaryota; Fungi; Glomeromycota; Glomeromycetes; Glomerales; Glomeraceae
Description: SSU rRNA
Rfam family: Eukaryotic small subunit ribosomal RNA
Source: RNAcentral